RNAcentral lists this ribosomal RNA (754 nucleotides) under uncultured bacterium. RNAcentral describes it as "bacterial SSU rRNA". It matches the Rfam family "Bacterial small subunit ribosomal RNA", at positions 346 to 1104 of the family's 1533-position model. The record is from RNAcentral.
AGGCAGCAGUGGGGAAUCUUGCGCAAUGGGCGAAAGCCUGACGCAGCGACGCCGCGUGGGGGAUGAAGCUUCUCGGAGUGUAAACCCCUUUCGACCGGGACGAAAACCCGCAAGGGUCUGACGGUACCGGUAUAAGAAGCCCCGGCUAACUACGUGCCAGCAGCCGCGGUAAUACGUAGGGGGCCAGCGUUGCUCGGAAUUACUGGGCGUAAAGGGUCCGUAGGCGGUGUGGCAAGUCGGGAGUGAAAUCCUGGAGCUUAACUUCAGGACGGCUUCCGAAACUGCCAUGCUCGAGUGUGGGAGAGGCGAGUGGAAUUGCAGGUGUAGCGGUGAAAUGCGUAGAUAUCUGCAGGAACACCAGUGGCGAAAGCGGCUCGCUGGACCACAACUGACGCUGAGGGACGAAAGCUAGGGGAGCAAACAGGAUUAGAUACCCUGGUAGUCCUAGCCCUAAACCAUCAGGACUUGGCGUGUCCCAUUCACUUGGGACGUGCCGGAGCUAACGCGUUAAGUCCUGCGCCUGGGGAGUAUGGUCGCAAGACUGAAACUCAAAGGAAUUGACGGGGGCCCGCACAAGCGGUGGAACAUGUGGUUCAAUUCGACGCAACGCGAAGAACCUUACCUGGGCUUGAACCGCUGGAGACCAUUCGCCGAAAGGCGAACUUCCCGCAAGGGACUCCAGUAGAGGUGCUGCAUGGCUGUCGUCAGCUCGUGCCGUGAGGUGUUGGGUUAAGUCCCGCAACGAGCGCAACCC